Long non-coding RNA from Brassica napus (rape), 1367 nucleotides. RefSeq lists it as uncharacterized. Lineage: Eukaryota; Viridiplantae; Streptophyta; Magnoliopsida; Brassicales; Brassicaceae. The record is from RefSeq and is a predicted model, not a curated record. The transcript has 2 exons.
AAGACUGUAAUACAUCACUUAAAUUGAAUCAGAAAAAUAAAUGAUAGUAAUUUGAAUUAUUUAUCAGCAAAUGAUUCAAAAUAUGUGUUUUAACAUCAAUUAUAACAAACGAUGAUACUAUUAAUUUAUUUGACAUCACUUUAAUGCAAUUGAUACAAAUCUAUAUUAAUUUACAUCACUUUUAUAAAACUGAUAGAAAAUAUAGGUUUACAUCAAUUAAAUAAUCGAUACAUUCACUAAUUUGGAUUAACAUCACUUAUAAAAAUGAUACAAUAGUAACAUCAUUUCAAUAAAUGUUGCAAAUUUGACAUCAAUAAUAAAAUGAUACUAACAUAAUUUUAACUAAAAUAUUAAUAUGUGUAGGUAUUUCAGUUAUGUCGCUUGAAUAUAUUUGAUGUUGCAAAUUUUAUUUUUUACAAAUUAAAAUACAAUAUUAUCAUAUGAAUUUUAUACAGAUAAAAUCUGUUUAUCUGUAUAUUUAAUCUUAUAAAGAAAAUUUGUAUUGCGUUGAUAUAGAAUUUGAAUUCAUAUAAUAAAUAAGUUAGAAAAAUUGAUAUGUUGAAUAUUAAAAUGAUAAAUAUAGACUAAAUGAAGAAUUUUAAAUCUAUAUUUAAAAAUACUUUUAUGCUCAUUAUAAUAUAGAAUUAAUUAAACGAAAUAAGUUAGCUAAAAACAGAAAUUUACAACUAACGACUUAAUUGAUAAAUAUUAGUAGUUAAUUUUAUAGAUUAUCUCGUUUGUUUUGUAAAUAAAAUUGUACACCACUAGAUCACCAUCAAGAUUUUAUAUACACGUUUGUUACCAAAAAAUAGCCAUAUCUUCUCCUAUUUUAUCUCAACCACUAACUAGAUCACGAUCCCUUUUAACUGAAUAAAAACAACUGUCUUUUACUUCUUCCUUCUUCUUUUUUACAAAGUUUCUAUCUUCCACACACACAAUUCUUUAACAAAUGUUUUCAACACAGUUUGAUAUGGUUACGGUUUCUUCUAGGAAUUAGAAUUUACGUUAGAGCAAAGUUUAACAGAGGUUGAAUCUGCAGUUCUGAAUAUAUGAUACUUUGGAAACUUUCGUGAAAGGCUGCUAUUGUUUACGUCAGUACAUCAUCGGUUAAGAAGCAUUCAGUAGUUUCAAGUCUAAGGGAACAGAGAUUGAUGAUAAAAAUAUGGAGAAAGAAAAAAGAAAGAACAAGAAUCCAGAUUGAAGAAGCUUUCACAGAAAAUUAUGUUUAAUUAAUUUUACGAUCUUGUUUUCUUAUUUUCAUCUUCUGCUUUUUUUGUUAGACUUCUCUCUGUAUUGUUUUGUUUUGUUAAACUAUAUUUUCAUUGGAAACGUAAAACUCUAAUGAAAAAUAAUUUAUUUAAUUGAUA